Molecule: ribosomal RNA, 701 nt
Filed under: Salmonella enterica subsp. enterica serovar Infantis
Lineage: Bacteria; Pseudomonadati; Pseudomonadota; Gammaproteobacteria; Enterobacterales; Enterobacteriaceae
Also listed under: 2 other names
Description: partial 23S ribosomal RNA
Rfam family: Bacterial large subunit ribosomal RNA
Source: RNAcentral
AGACCCGAAACCCGGUGAUCUAGCCAUGGGCAGGUUGAAGGUUGGGUAACACUAACUGGAGGACCGAACCGACUAAUGUUGAAAAAUUAGCGGAUGACCUGUGGCUGGGGGUGAAAGGCCAAUCAAACCGGGAGAUAGCUGGUUCUCCCCGAAAGCUAUUUAGGUAGCGCCUCGUGAAUUCAUCUCCGGGGGUAGAGCACUGUUUCGGCUAGGGGGCCAUCCCGGCUUACCAACCCGAUGCAAACUGCGAAUACCGGAGAAUGUUAUCACGGGAGACACACGGCGGGUGCUAACGUCCGUCGUGAAGAGGGAAACAACCCAGACCGCCAGCUAAGGUCCCAAAGUCAUGGUUAAGUGGGAAACGAUGUGGGAAGGCCCAGACAGCCAGGAUGUUGGCUUAGAAGCAGCCAUCAUUUAAAGAAAGCGUAAUAGCUCACUGGUCGAGUCGGCCUGCGCGGAAGAUGUAACGGGGCUAAACCAUGCACCGAAGCUGCGGCAGCGACACUCAGGUGUUGUUGGGUAGGGGAGCGUUCUGUAAGCCUGUGAAGGUGGCCUGUGAGGGUUGCUGGAGGUAUCAGAAGUGCGAAUGCUGACAUAAGUAACGAUAAAGCGGGUGAAAAGCCCGCUCGCCGGAAGACCAAGGGUUCCUGUCCAACGUUAAUCGGGGCAGGGUGAGUCGACCCCUAAGGCGAGGCCGAAAG